This is a long non-coding RNA of Siniperca chuatsi (mandarin fish), 638 nucleotides long. RefSeq lists it as uncharacterized. The transcript is spliced from 3 exons. The record is from RefSeq and is a predicted model, not a curated record. Lineage: Eukaryota; Metazoa; Chordata; Actinopteri; Centrarchiformes; Sinipercidae.
CACAGAGGCCUGGAGGAGUUUCCCCGGGUACCGGUGACCUUAUAUGGCCGGGCCCUGCCUGCACAGCCACCACGGUCAGUUGCUGGUGCUUCUCUGCCUACCUGACAGCUGAGCCGUCCAUCAACCCGCUCAUAUAACUGUCACACACAGGCACAUGCAGCAGAACACGCCCACACACUCUCUCCUUACACUUCCUGUUUGUUGGGCACUGUCUCCCUCUCUGUGAAUUUCUAUUUCAUUUGAUUUUAAAGUGGACCUGAGUUUUUGUGACAUACUCCAUCCUGGGAACCUGCCUGAAUAUGUUAAGUGUGUGGAAAGUAGACGAGGUACAGUGGUGUGUCCAGACUUUUUGGACUGAGGUGGCCCAAGUGGGGCACUGAUUUAUGCAGGGGUGGCAUGAAGUACACGCGAGCGCACACACAUUUACUGGUCUAAUGCUUUUGUUACGGACUGUUUACAUCCUUUGUCGGUUGGAGCAGGAGUUACAGCGAAAUCUGUGACCUGUCGGAUUCUGUGAGGCUACAGAACGAAGCACUGAACCAGAUGUGAAUUCUGCAUAACCCCACCGCAGCAAACUCCGCCCGCCCAGACGGGACCUCAUCACAGGAACAGCUGAAGAGAGACAAGAAAUGUGGGAG